UACGAAGGGGGCUAGCGUUGCUCGGAAUCACUGGGCGUAAAGGGUGCGUAGGCGGGUCUUUAAGUCAGGGGUGAAAUCCUGAAGCUCAACUCCAGAACUGCCUUUGAUACUGAAGAUCUUGAGUUCGGGAGAGGUGAGUGGAACUGCGAGUGUAGAGGUGAAAUUCGUAGAUAUUCGCAAGAACACCAGUGGCGAAGGCGGCUCACUGGCCCGGUACUGACGCUGAGGUGCGAAAGCGUGGGGAGCAAACAGG
Molecule: ribosomal RNA, 253 nt
Filed under: uncultured bacterium
Lineage: Bacteria
Description: partial 16S ribosomal RNA
Rfam family: Bacterial small subunit ribosomal RNA
Source: RNAcentral